This is a long non-coding RNA of Neofelis nebulosa (Clouded leopard), 3400 nucleotides long. RefSeq lists it as uncharacterized. The record is from RefSeq and is a predicted model, not a curated record. The transcript is spliced from 3 exons. NCBI's taxonomy places the organism in Eukaryota, Metazoa, Chordata, Mammalia, Carnivora, Felidae.
UAAAUGUUAAUUUUUUCUCUCUGGUAUAGAAAGUAAAUACUUUUUGGUGUUUAGUCAUAGUAUAGUUGACAUUUUUCAAAGGUCAGUGAUAGACUCUAAAUAAAUAUAAAAGUUGUCUGAAUUUAGCGUGUUGCUUUCCUGUUCUUUUACAGAGCAGAUUACCUUUAAAAGACUUUGUUUCUAGUUAGCCAGGAAAAGACUGGAUCAGGCCAAGGUCCAAGCCCUUUACUUGGCUGAUUACCACCAGUAUGACCCUAAGUUACUUAACCUUUUUUAGACACUUCCCUCAGAUAUUAAACAGAAAUAAAAGCAGUACCAAUUUUAUGAGUGUUCUAAGGAUACCAUGAAACUCAGCAGAGGGACCCUGCUAUAAGGGUGCCCGUUGCACUCUACCCUGAACGACAGCAUGGCGUCCACAGAGCAGGAGCUCUGAGGGAAGACUGCUUUAAAACCCUGCUCCAUGAUAUUCACGUUACUCAACUUCAGCGGGUUAUUAACCACUCCGUGCCUCAGUUUCCUUGUCUGCCAAAUAGUAGUGAUUAUUAAGUUAGUACAUCUAAAAUGCUCAAGACAGUAUCUGAUUCAUAUGGCACUUCCUAAGCUAAGAUGUCACCGAUAGUAACACAUACCAUUAUUGGUGUCACUAACAAAAAUGCUGAGAAUUAUAAAACGCAUCCUGAUUUUCAAGAUGUAAACUGCAUGAAAAUAGGUCUAAGAAUUGAUGAAAUGUCGUGGUAAGCACUCAAAAUGUUUACCAUUUUUAGGAAAACUAGGAAAUGAGACCCCCUCUGCCUACUUUCAACCACAUGUAAUCCUAGAUGAAUGACCUUGGAGUGAAGGACAGAACUUCUAAAACUCCUUCUCUUCAGUAUUUUCCCAGGCACAGGUCUUGUCAAUGUGAAGCUACUGAAGCUACAACUCACACGGCUCCAUCAUAGACUCGGCUCGAAGAAUGACCUAAGUCCUCUCUCCCCAUCCUGAGUCUCAGCUAAUUGGCACUUCUGCUUAACUCCUACAUUGAAUCAGAAGGUAUGCAGACGUAAAAGAGGUAAGAAUGCAUUCAGUAUGUAGCGAAGAGACGUGAGUGUGUCUUAAACCAUAUUCAAAAUAAGUGCAACUGGUAGGGUAGGUCAUCAUCCUGUUGGGACUGGCACCAGCCCAAUCCAGAUCAGAAGCCAGUCAUAAACACCUCCAACAGCGGCACCAAGGUUCACAGCCACACUUUCUUCAAUGUUCAAAUGAUAGUAACCCUAAAUUUUCCAUUUGCCCUGAUUAUAAGGAAUUCAGUCUUUUCUAGAGCUUAGCUUGCCAAAUAUACCCAAGGGUCUCCUAAAAUUGCUUAUUUGUCCAAAGAUCAUGCUUAUCUGCUUGCUGCUGCACAAAUCACCUGUGUUUCAGGAGUUCGGGUGUUCAGGUGCGCCCCUACCGGCAGAACUCGCCCACUGCAGCUGCCCCGUGAAUUCAAUAUAGGAGAAAAUAAAAGCUACUCUGGCAUCGAUAUGAAAUUCUAGCCUAUUUUAUAGGCUGUGUGUAAAAUGUGGAUUUCACUAAGAAUGUGGGAAACUGGAAAGAGUAUGUCCCACCCUAAUAAUAAAAGAAGACACAUAAUCUACAAAACCGUAACUUUUCUUGAACCCAUCAAAGCUAAGGUUAUAGGGCAACCAACUAGUCUGAAAUCUGAGUAAACACAGUAACUUUCAAGGAGAGACAAGAGUCAGACCCCAACUUUCCUGGGGCAGAAUGUGGAAGAAAGAUAGGGCUGACAUGCAUGUGGGCAAGAAGUGUGGAAGGGUCACCAAAUCCUGAUCAGGGCAUAGAUGAAAACCCACUGCAUCUGGGAAAAGGAAACAGAAAAAGCAAGAAAUCACUUUGGGCCAUUUGGUGUUCUCUAUAGCUGCGGGAGAAGCAGGGUCACUAGGAAAUUUCUACCCCAGACACUUAGAGACACAAAGCCUACCAAAUACUGAGGUUGAACCAGUACAAGAGAGAAUAACAACCACUCCCGCAACACCACCAUCAAGUAAAAACUAACAGCAGUCCACUACUGGGAGAGAAGCAAGAACAUGGAGAGAAACACUCAUCUGAUGAAGACUUGGAAGCAACUGUUAUACAAAUGCUCCAACAGAUAAUCAUGAACACUCUUAAAACUAAAAGAAAGUUUAAAAAGUUCAACAAAAAGAUAUAAAGCAUAAAAAACUGACAGUUAAGGAACUAAAGAAUUUAACAGCAGAAAACUCAUCGGGAUGAAUAGGAGAGAAUUAUAAUAAUAAAAGAAAGAAUCAAUGAAGUUGGACAUAGAGCAAUAGAAAUAAUCCAGGACAGUUGGUAAGUGCAUUUGUGGUGAACAUAGCAUAAUGCAUAAACCUGUGAAAUCACUUAGGUGUAUACCUGAAACUAAUGUAACAUUGUGUGAUAACUCUACUAAAAUUUUCAGAAGUAAUACAUUUUUUAAAGUAAAAGUAAUCCAAUUUUUACAAUAAAGAUUUCAGUCUAGAUUUCAAUAUCUCGGAAAAAUAGCUUUCAGGACUGAACAUGAAAUAAAAAACAUUUUCAAAUGUUUCAAAUGAAGUGUAGCAUUUCAAGUAACUAUAGCAUAUACCAGAAGGUCUCCUCUCAAAGAAUUGCUGAAGGUAAAGGAAAAUAAGGCAGAAGAAAACCUGGAACAUCAGGAAUAAAAGAAGAGCAAUAGAAAUGUAAAUAUUUGGGCAAAUAUGAUAGACUAUUCUUCUCUCCUAUUGUGUUCUUUAAAAUAUGGUUGAUGGUUGAAAAUAGAAAUUAUAACAUUUCCUAAGAGUUGUGUCAACAGAGGUAGAUAUAAUAUAGAAAACAAUGAUAACAUGAAUGGAAAGAAAAAAGAUCUAUAGGUGGUAAUAUUUCUACAUUACACUUGAAAUGGUAAAAUAUUAAUUCUAAUAUGUUGAUAAAAGUAAGGUAUGUACAUUGUAAUUCCUAGAGCUAUGACUAAAUACAAAGAAACAAUAGUCAAAGUCACAAUACAUAAAACAGAAUACUAAAGUUUGUUUAAAAUAUCCCCAAAAAGGCAGCAAAGACAACAGGGAAGGAAAAACUUGGUAAACAAAUAAAAACAAUUAAUAAAACAACUGUCCUAAAUCCAAACAUAUCAAUAAUUACAUUAAAUGUAAAUGGUCUAAAAAAGUAAAAUAGAUAUAAAUAGUCUAACCACCAUUUAGAGAAAAUUUAGAGAGAAACUGUCAGAACGGAUAAAAACAUGACUCAACAACAUGUUCAUAAGACAUGUCAAAUUAAUGAUAAGGUAAGUUUAAAAGUAAAACGUGAGUCAAAAAGAAAAACAGAAUGACUAUAUUAAUAUCAGAUAAAAUAGGUUUCAAAGCAGAAAAAAAUCAUUAAGGGUUAAGAGGGACAUUCCAUAAUCAUAAAA